This is a long non-coding RNA of Oenanthe melanoleuca, 264 nucleotides long. RefSeq lists it as uncharacterized. The transcript has 2 exons. The record is from RefSeq and is a predicted model, not a curated record. Lineage: Eukaryota; Metazoa; Chordata; Aves; Passeriformes; Muscicapidae.
AGCUGGAGCAGCCCCGGGGGCUGCGGGAUCCCAGGGAGUCGGGAGGAGACGGGGGCUGAAAGCUGGAAGUGCUGGGGCUGGAGGAACCGCGUACUCACUGCUUUCAGCAUCCCAGGCUGUGAUGGAUUGAUGCAGUGACCCAGCACACAAGUGUUUAUCAUCUUUGGAGAAGCAGGCACUGCAAAGGCCUUGCAGCAGACCUGUGGGCUGGAAAUGGAUGGUUGGCAUUAGAUUGUUGUGCUGGUAAAUACAGGGUGAAGUGGA